UACGGAGGGAGCUAGCGUUGUUCGGAAUUACUGGGCGUAAAGCGUGCGUAGGCGGUUAUUCAAGUCAGAGGUGAAAGCCCGGGGCUCAACCCCGGAACUGCCUUUGAAACUAGAUAGCUAGAAUCUUGGAGAGGUCAGUGGAAUUCCGAGUGUAGAGGUGAAAUUCGUAGAUAUUCGGAAGAACACCAGUGGCGAAGGCGACUCACUGGACACGUAUUGACGCUGAGGUGCGAAAGCGUGGGGAGCAAACAGG
RNAcentral lists this ribosomal RNA (253 nucleotides) under uncultured bacterium. RNAcentral's name for it is "partial 16S ribosomal RNA". It matches the Rfam family "Bacterial small subunit ribosomal RNA", at positions 524 to 776 of the family's 1533-position model. The record is from RNAcentral.